RNAcentral lists this ribosomal RNA (494 nucleotides) under uncultured bacterium. Its description in RNAcentral is "partial 16S ribosomal RNA". It matches the Rfam family "Bacterial small subunit ribosomal RNA", at positions 28 to 507 of the family's 1533-position model. The record is from RNAcentral.
GACGAACGCUGGCGGCGUGCUUAACACGUGCAAGUCGAACGGAAAGGCCUGCUUUCCCUUGUGGAUUGCGGGUACUCGAGUGGCGAACGGGUGAGUAACACGUGAGUGAUCUGCCCCCAACUUGGGUAUAAGCCUGGGAAACUGGGUCUAAUUCCCGAUAGGACUGCAGGGUGGUGCCUGUGGUGGAAAACGAUUUUCUAGUGGUUGGGGAUGAGCUCGCGGCCUAUCAGCUUGUUGGUGGGGUAAUGGCCUACCAAGGCGGCGACGGGUAGCCGGCCUGAGAGGGUGGACGGCCACAUUGGGACUGAGAUACGGCCCAGACUCCUACGGGAGGCAGCAGUGGGGAAUAGUGCACAAUGGGCGGAAGCCUGAUGCAGCGACGCCGCGUGGGGGAUGACGGCCUUCGGGUUGUAAACUCCUUUCGACCGCGAGGAAGCCACCUGGUUGGAAGGGUGGUGACGGUAGUGGUAGAAGAAGCACCGGCUAACUACGUG